This 492-nucleotide ribosomal RNA is filed under the name uncultured bacterium. RNAcentral's name for it is "partial 16S ribosomal RNA". It matches the Rfam family "Bacterial small subunit ribosomal RNA", at positions 29 to 507 of the family's 1533-position model. The record is from RNAcentral.
AUUGAACGCUGGCGGCAUGCUUUACACAUGCAAGUCGAACGGUAACAGGCCUUCGGGUGCUGACGAGUGGCGAACGGGUGAGUAAUGCAUCGGAACGUACCCAGAGGUGGGGGAUAACGCAGCGAAAGCUGUGCUAAUACCGCAUGUGAUCUGAGGAUGAAAGCGGGGGACCGCGCAGCAAUGUUUGGCCUCGCGCCUUUGGAGCGGCCGAUGUCGGAUUAGCUAGUUGGUGGGGUAAAGGCCUACCAAGGCGACGAUCCGUAGCUGGGCUGAGAGGACGACCAGCCACACUGGGACUGAGACACGGCCCAGACUCCUACGGGAGGCAGCAGUGGGGAAUUUUGGACAAUGGGCGCAAGCCUGAUCCAGCAAUGCCGCGUGCGGGAAGAAGGCCUUCGGGUUGUAAACCGCUUUUGGCAGGAACGAAACGGUGUCCGCUAAUACCGGGCGCUAAUGACGGUACCUGCAGAAUAAGCACCGGCUAACUACGUG